UUCAGACAUUUUUCUUUUAACCCGUCGUCCACAUAUUUUGACGGUUUUAUUUUUGUUUUUAUCGUAUUGAGCCUUUUUUGCGCACUUUCCUAGCGCAAAUGUGUCACCCUGGAGAGUCUGAGCCGCUGUGAAAAGGAUCCAGACGUGAGCUCCUGUCAUGGAAGGAGAGGAGAGGGAGAAGAGGAGCAGCUCCAUCACAUGACAGACGAUGUGCGUCGGUGCCUCUGAGUCUCAUUAGUCUGCAGCGCAGAAGACGAUCUACAGGGGCUGACGCACCAAUUCCUGACACAAUCCGGCUAAAUGCAAGAGGCGACACAGCUUCAGCCUCUGAGGCCACUUCUCUGGAGGAAGUCAACACAAAUAGCUGCAACAGUUCAAACAAUAACUGCACAAAUGGAGGCGGACAUACAACAAUGAGGUGUCAUCCGGAGUUCUCCGGUGUUUGUGAGUACUUCAACCACCAAACAUCUCCUGUGACUCCAGCUCAGGGCCAGGUUUCUGCCUUCUUGCCCAGCUAUGGCUCCCCCUAGCCGUGCCUCCAUAUUUCCUUGUUAGUGCACACCAUACUGCCCUGACCCUCCCUCGUCUAUUACGCAUUAAAUACACCAAGAUACACCUGGAAACCUCAAUUUCUCGGUCGAAAUGUUGAGUCUAUAGCCUCCAUGUGCCUCCCAGCCAACAUUGGGCUCCAUUGGCCAAAGCACAGCAGAGGAUU
Long non-coding RNA from Mugil cephalus (flathead mullet), 715 nucleotides. RefSeq lists it as uncharacterized. The record is from RefSeq and is a predicted model, not a curated record. NCBI's taxonomy places the organism in Eukaryota, Metazoa, Chordata, Actinopteri, Mugiliformes, Mugilidae. The transcript has 4 exons.